This is a non-coding RNA of Megalops cyprinoides (Indo-Pacific tarpon), 268 nucleotides long. RefSeq annotates it as small Cajal body-specific RNA 6. NCBI's taxonomy places the organism in Eukaryota, Metazoa, Chordata, Actinopteri, Elopiformes, Megalopidae. The transcript has a single exon. The record is from RefSeq and is a predicted model, not a curated record.
GGUCAGUGAUGUGAUGUAAAAGGUCUGAUGCCUAGGCUUCCUCCAGCUACCCUUCAGCUCCCAGGAGCCCCUGUUCCGUUUCCAGCAUGCUCUAGGUGUGUGGUGUUGGUUUUGGGGGCUCCUGACAAAUGGGAUGACCUCCUAGCCUGUUUCUCCACAAGACUGAGGAGAUGCAAUGAUGGUGGACAUUCAACACAGACAAUUGCUAAGGAGUAUCAGGGUCUGGCAAGGAAAUAGGCACUUGAUCUCAAGUUUUCAAACUGAGACC